CAGAACAUCUCACCUCAACUUUUUUACUCUCACUGUUAACUAUCCAUCAUCAUGGUCGAUAUCUUUGGAGAGAUUGAAACGCGACUCCCACGUUUCGAAUUUUGCUGCGUUCCGCUAAGAUUGUGUGCCAUUCUGGUUGCGAUCUAUCAUACGGUGUCGGUCAGCUACAUGGUAUUUUAUCGGAUCCCAGCUGACGGAUUGGUCCAAUGGAUUGCAUCCCACAUUCGGGCAGGUGGAGAAACGGCAGUCAUGGCCAUAAUGUUGUGUUUAUUUGAACUGCCGAUCAUUUUUGCUAUCCUCAGCUCGAUCGCAAUACUCAUAUAUGGACUUCUCAAGGAGAGCUUAACAUACUUACGCGCUUUUCUCAUGGUAAUGGUCUUCGUUGUCGUCGCUGAAACCAUCGAAGUAUUCAUGCUUUACUUUUUCGCCUCUGCAAUCGUAACGAUAAAAUCUUUCUCCGCGCCAACACUCUGGAUAGGUUUGGACUUUUUAUCCAUAGUCGUAGUCCAUAGUUACCGAGUGAGUAUGACCAGAAAACUCUCGUCCCAGGAGGCAUUACAGCACAGCCAAUCAGACUGACUAUGCCUGCUUACUUUCGAAUGAAAUUGAUCUGGAAUCUAAUCUGACCCAUAGAGAGAGAAAAGGAGGUGUUUGCAUCUUUAGGUUUGUUUAACCUGUGACGUAAGUCGGUACAACCUGGCCAGCGAAAUCCUGAAUCCGAAGUAUGAAAAACGGACCAUAAUGUUCAAUUUUUUUGCUUGAAUCAACUCAUGAUAUAAUUUCAAGCACUUUUUAUAGAAUGACUUUUUUCCAUAAAUUACACCGUUUCCAAGAAAAUCGAUGAUAAAAGUCGCUGUACCGACCUACGUCAUCAAAAAAAUUACAAGAUGCCCGAAAUUCAAACACCUCCUUUUUUUCCUCUAUGAAUCUGACCACCCCAAAUCAUAUUUCUGUAAACGUUCGUCAAAAUAUGAGAUCCGACUCCGUUGUCCACUCCGUUGUCUCGAGGCGAAGGAUUGUAACUCUAGCCAGAUUGCAAACUUGACGAAUCGAACGAUGCAACUACCUAUUUGCAAUGUAAAAUUUAGAGUCCCUUUAUAACACAGAGUUAAGACAACUCGAUUAUCAGCUGACUGGCAGCCGGCCUUGGCUGGCCAUGGAGGCCGAAACGAGUGCACUCAAACGAACGAUAUUGAGGGAUAAGAAUAAGGAAUCCUCCGAUGUCUGUCAUUCAAAAACAACAACAUCAACAAAACUGAUCAAAACCUUAAAAUUAGAUUGAUUUGUGGAUAAUUUCUUAAUAUAUUUUCAUUUUGGUGCGAUUAAAAUAACAAUUCACUCUUGAUAAACCACAAUUUAGUUAUAUUUUCAUUACUUUUGUUCACAUUCGAGGUACCGCCAUCUUGGUGCAUUCGUUUCGGCCUCCAUGAGCGAGAACCAAUCAGAAUUGGAUUUUUUUUUAGGCCACUUUCAGCCCAACCAAAAUCUACCAAAAGUGAGUUGUCGUAACUCUGUGUUAUAAAGGGACUCUAGUAAAAUUAAGACAAUCAUGGUGUUCAAAUGAUCAUCGGGGGUUUGACUAAAUCUGAAAUGAUCAUCAUCACAAUUUUCACGGAUUGCGAUGCUGUCAUAUCUAGUGUUUCUUCAAGUGCCUGGGAUUUUUGGCGCAGAAUAAGCGAGUUUCCAGCUGAAGAAACUGCAACACGAGCCGCAUCCCAAUCAAUGGCGAUUUUGCAAGUUGGCAACACUGUUAGUCCUCAAUUUGAAUCCAUUGGCGUGGCGUGCUAUGCGAUAUAUAGUUUGAUGUGUCAUUUAAACCUAUUGUAAAGAAUCGAUUAUUAAGGUGUUCGCUGCGAACACCCUGUUUAUCGAUCCUUUUCCAUAGGUUUAAAUGGCAUAACAAUCGAUAUAUCGCAAUUCACGCCACGCCAAUGUUUGAAUCCAUUGAAAAUAUCGAGUUUCGGUGAGGCUAGCUGUUUCGCUACGGAUCGAUUGUUUUACAUAUAUUUAAAUGGAGGCAAACUGUAUUGCCAACCUUUGAAGGUCUUUUCGUACCCUAGAGGAUCAUUUGAACAUUGUGAUGACGUUUCUGUCCAAAAUUUUACGGAUUCUUAGGUGUGAUCAGAAAAAAAUUAGUGGAAUUUUCAGUUAACAAUUCUCAACAGUUUUUUUUAGAAAAAAUGUAUUUUCCGAGUGGAGAUUUUACACUGUUGAGAGGUAAUUACGCGUCCUUUCGUCUGCCAGUCGACAAAUUGUCCCCAUUCAAAAGUCAUGUAAUACUUUGAACACUGAACUUUUUUGAACUGUACUAAAUGUAAGAAUUAAUAUCUUGUAAGUUUUGUGGGGCGGAAAUAACAUAAAUCAAAGCAGCUAUUAUAUUAGAACGUAUUUAUGCCGAAAGAAACUGUAUUGCACGCGAACACAAUGAUAAUAGUUCCUUUCCAGUGGCGUGGCGUGAAUUGCGAUAUAUCGAUUGUUAUGCCAUUUAAACCUAUGGAAAAGGAUCGAUAAACAGGGUGUUCGCAGCGAACACCUUAAUAAUCGAUUCUUUACAAUAGGUUUAAAUGACACAUCAAACGAUAUAUCGCAUAGCACGCCACGCCACUGUUCCUUUCAGCAUAAACACGUCCAUUUGAGGAAUGUUUUGCCAAAUCGUACUUUACGUCCGUUGUUUGUUCCGAUACAUCCCUAUUUUCAUUUCACCUGUCGUUCAAUUAACUCGCCAAUUAUGAGUUAACGCUAUGAUGUGCAAAUUUCAGUAAAAAAUAAAAAUUAAGUUAAAUAGAAAACAUGAAAAACAUUUAUUAUGCCUUAUCACGCAUAUUGUUGUUUAAUUAUUACCUAAAGCGAAAAAUUCUCGAAUUCAAUGUGAAUCUUCGGGCCCAUCUUCAGCAAGACACGAGACAUUACAAGAAUAUUAUUUCCUUAAUGAUAAAUUGAAAUUGUUACUUAAAAGUUCCUGAAAUGUGACUUUUCAAGAGAAAGACAGACCAUAGAGGAGGAAAAUUCUAAAUAUUGGAAUAUUAAUUAAUCAAUUGCUUGAUUACAGUUUUUUUGUGAGAGGGAAGUAAGAACUAUUGCGUGGACAAAAAACGUAAUUUUCCUACUUUCAAGUUAAAUUCAGAAAUUUCUAAUGCGCCCAUUACAUAUUAGGCAAAUUUCGAUUAGGAAACAUAAAAUAUUAUGUUACCAAAGUAUAUAUAUUGUAAUAAAAUAUAUUGCAAUAAAACAAAAAAUUGGUUCAUCGGCCUCGAGACCCUUGGGAAGCUUCUAACCCUUGUGGACGUAUUUAUGCCAAAAGGAACUAUGUCUUACAUAAACCCUAUGCACAUAGUUCCUUUUAGCAUAAACACGUCCAAUUGCGCAAUCGAUUCAACGCAAUGAAAUUCG
This 3390-nucleotide long non-coding RNA is filed under the name Bemisia tabaci. Its description in RNAcentral is "lncRNA ENSSSA1NGG003258". The record is from RNAcentral. Lineage: Eukaryota; Metazoa; Arthropoda; Insecta; Hemiptera; Aleyrodidae.